Molecule: ribosomal RNA, 253 nt
Filed under: uncultured Eubacteriales bacterium
Lineage: Bacteria; Bacillati; Bacillota; Clostridia; Eubacteriales
Description: uncultured Clostridiales bacterium partial 16S ribosomal RNA
Rfam family: Bacterial small subunit ribosomal RNA
Source: RNAcentral
UACGUAGGGGGCAAGCGUUAUCCGGAUUUACUGGGUGUAAAGGGAGCGCAGACGGCAGUGCAAGUCUGGAGUGAAAACCCGGGGCCCAACCCCGGGAGUGCAUUUGAAACUGUCUGGCUAGAGUGCAGGAGAGGUAAGUGGAAUUCCUAGUGUAGCGGUGAAAUGCAUAGAUAUUAGGAGGAACACCAGUGGCGAAGGCGGCUUACUGGACUGUAACUGACACUGAGGCUCGAAAGCGUGGGGAUCGAACAGG